ACGGAGGGUGCAAGCGUUAAUCGGAAUUACUGGGCGUAAAGCGCAUGUAGGCUGUAUGGCAAGUUGGAGGUGAAAUCCCACGGCUCAACCGUGGAACUGCCUUCAAAACUACCAAACUGGAGUGCGAGAGAGGAUAGCGGAAUUCCAGGUGUAGGAGUGAAAUCCGUAGAUAUCUGGAAGAACAUCAGUGGCGAAGGCGGCUAUCUGGCUCGUAACUGACGCUGAGAUGCGAAAGCGUGGGUAGCAAACAG
This 251-nucleotide ribosomal RNA is filed under the name uncultured bacterium. RNAcentral's name for it is "partial 16S ribosomal RNA". It matches the Rfam family "Bacterial small subunit ribosomal RNA", at positions 525 to 775 of the family's 1533-position model. The record is from RNAcentral.